CGCACAGCGAAAGGUGCUUGCACCUUUCAAGUGAGUGGCGAACGGGUGAGUAACACGUGGACAACCUGCCUCAAGGCUGGGGAUAACAUUUGGAAACAGAUGCUAAUACCGAAUAAAACUUAGUGUCGCAUGACACAAAGUUAAAAGGCGCUUCGGCGUCACCUAGAGAUGGAUCCGCGGUGCAUUAGUUAGUUGGUGGGGUAAAGGCCUACCAAGACAAUGAUGCAUAGCCGAGUUGAGAGACUGAUCGGCCACAUUGGGACUGAGACACGGCCCAAACUCCUACGGGAGGCUGCAGUAGGGAAUCUUCCACAAUGGGCGAAAGCCUGAUGGAGCAACGCCGCGUGUGUGAUGAAGGCUUUCGGGUCGUAAAGCACUGUUGUAUGGGAAGAACAGCUAGAAUAGGAAAUGAUUUUAGUUUGACGGUACCAUACCAGAAAGGGACGGCUAAAUACGUGCCAGCAGCCGCGGUAAUACGUAUGUCCCGAGCGUUAUCCGGAUUUAUUGGGCGUAAAGCGAGCGCAGACGGUUUAUUAAGUCUGAUGUGAAAGCCCGGAGCUCAACUCCGGAAUGGCAUUGGAAACUGGUUAACUUGAGUGCAGUAGAGGUAAGUGGAACUCCAUGUGUAGCGGUGGAAUGCGUAGAUAUAUGGAAGAACACCAGUGGCGAAGGCGGCUUACUGGACUGCAACUGACGUUGAGGCUCGAAAGUGUGGGUAGCAAACAGGAUUAGAUACCCUGGUAGUCCACACCGUAAACGAUGAACACUAGGUGUUAGGAGGUUUCCGCCUCUUAGUGCCGAAGCUAACGCAUUAAGUGUUCCGCCUGGGGAGUACGACCGCAAGGUUGAAACUCAAAGGAAUUGACGGGGACCCGCACAAGCGGUGGAGCAUGUGGUUUAAUUCGAAGCAACGCGAAGAACCUUACCAGGUCUUGACAUCCUUUGA
RNAcentral lists this ribosomal RNA (946 nucleotides) under Leuconostoc mesenteroides. Its description in RNAcentral is "bacterial SSU rRNA". It matches the Rfam family "Bacterial small subunit ribosomal RNA", at positions 63 to 994 of the family's 1533-position model. The record is from RNAcentral. Lineage: Bacteria; Bacillati; Bacillota; Bacilli; Lactobacillales; Lactobacillaceae.